RNAcentral lists this small nucleolar RNA (122 nucleotides) under Astyanax mexicanus (Mexican tetra). RNAcentral's name for it is "Small nucleolar RNA SNORD90". It matches the Rfam family "Small nucleolar RNA SNORD90". Rfam says of the family: snoRNA HBII-295 belongs to the family of C/D snoRNAs. It is the human orthologue of the mouse MBII-295 and has no identified RNA target. The record is from Rfam by way of RNAcentral. Lineage: Eukaryota; Metazoa; Chordata; Actinopteri; Characiformes; Acestrorhamphidae.
AACACAUUUUUUUUGGUGUUCAGUGAUGAUUACUCUUAGGGCAGAUUCUGAGUGGGGGAACGUCUGAUUCUCUCACCUGAUCUGAAUAACGAGUUAAAGAGUCUGAGAACACCAGAAACACC